UCCUUGAUUAAUGGCAGGGCGGCCGCCUGCUGCAGCAGGAGGGGGCCGGCCGGGGAGGGAUUUAUCCCACUCAUCUGACACGUGGCGCUUCGCUCUUCUGCGGUGUCGUGGCUACAGAGCCAGGGCUGAAAGCCUCCGUUUUCGGUACCUCUGAUCUACCUCAAACGUACCUUAAAGGAGAAAGGAGCUGUGCUGUGGAUCUCAGCCUUGACUGGCACGUUCCUGGGUUUUGCACUCGAGUAUCUGGGAAAGGGGGAGGCAGCCGGAGAAAGGCAGCAAAGCAUCGCACGCGUGUUUCUCCCAGCUGAUCUGCAGGCAGUGUUGGAAAAGAAGGGGUCGUUCCUGCUACCGAGAGUGACUGACGGGAACCUGGGGUGGGAUUCUGGUCUCACUACCUCGGAAACCUGCGGUGAGCAUACAUCUGCAGCUGAACUGGGCACCCUAGGCUUCCCUUGUUAGUUAAUGGAGGCGAUUAGGUAUUUUUAGGCAUGACUCGCCUGUCCUAUUUUAGCUCUCUAUUUUAGUACAGGAUGAAUUGUACGAUGUCCGUUAACUUUAAAGAGAGUCUAAUCCGAGUAGCUCAGAUGCGGACCUCUUAACUGAUUUAUUCGGAUCAGUUCUACCCCCGUCUGCCAAGGUCUUUAAAGCACCAGGUAUCUUCCAAGGCUAAAACCGAGGCAAACAGUGAGAGAGGGGCAGGGCAGAAAGCUGUCUUUUGCUUUGCUUUUUCCCAGAUAGCAGCAUCUCUUCAGGUGUGACUUUGGCAGCCAAACGCUCGAGUUGGCUGUGGUCGUUUUGAACUGUCAAAAGUAUUGUUGGUCCUAGUCUAGGAGCAAUGCAGUCUCCGUCGGUACAACGUCUAUCCAGUUGGAAAAAAAAAAAGGAUUUUUAGUUGCCUUCCCUCUCAAACAUCUGCUUUUCUGUUGACAAAUCGCUCCCUCUCUCUUGCCCUAUCCCUGCCCUCCUUUUUCCUUAUGGCUCUCUGUCUCGACCCCUCCUGAUGCAGCCAAACCUGCCAAUUCUCUGUAGCUCCUCUGAGGCUCCCGAUCUUCCUUAGCUUUUGCUGAAACUAAGCAAAGAGGCUCCCUGGCGUAGAGGCAGGAAUAUCAGCAACACCUCAAUAGCGCAGCCACGCUGGGACCCGCAACAACAUGCCCCCACACGUGUCCGCGUACGCAGAGUUUGCUGUGGGCUGGAAGAGGCAGCAGGAGGGAAGGCCGGGUCAUACCGAGCGUUUCUAAGCCGAUGAAAACAGCAGGCACUGCCCGGUGGUGGUCCGCGUGCAGGGACCAGGCUGGGACCAGGCGCAGGCAGCAAAGCGUAUCCAUAGGAAUGAAGUACAAAGAUGGUGAAAGACUGGUACGUCUUGCACACCGUCAUCUUCUCGUCGCGUGUGCUUUCUGCCUACUGAUGCAAAUAAGGGCAUCCUCCGUCAUUUUUCUGAAGCUGACAUGAGACCGUGAUGUUUUCCACGCGGGCGGAAUUCAUACACGGCACAUCUCUGAGCCUCUGGCUACACGGGGAACCGCACAAGCUCCUUGAUGAUACCACAGGCCACGAACCACGGGUGGCUGCUGGCUGCCCAUACCCUGCCUCGCGAUCACCGGAACGAUCAGCUGGCCGAACAGGGCGGAAUCUCCCAGUGGUGGCCUCCGUUAUGACGGUCGCAGGGCUGUCAUUCGGAGACAGCUGAAGAACUUGGCCGGUACAGGCUCUUUCAAGGUUGGGAUCAGCGUUUUGAUGAAUUGUAGAGUCUUUGGGUAGAGGGUGAACAUUGAUCUGCACUUCUCUGCAGGAGAAGUGCAGAUGUCCAAGGAUGUGUAGGAUGCAGAGGAUCCACCUUGUGCAAGUGAUACUUUAUAAACGUGAGUUCAGAGUGCGUGUCCAGCUGUUGUGUCAGAGCACAGCAACGAUGCAGCUCCCAGCAGGCUCCGUCUCCCUUCCACCGGGAUCUUUCUCCCACAGGAGACCUCCUGCCACCACCUGAGCUUCUGCAAGCUCCCUGGUCCAGUGCAAGAUGAUCCUGUAGGAUGUCUGAUAAUACGGAGUGCUGAUAGGUGUCCGUGUCCCAGGACCCUGAUUCCCGGUAAUCUUCAUCAGGAUAAGGAGAGAAGAGCACACACACGGCAGGUCCUAGCUAUAUCGGUUACUGCACAUCUGAUACGUGUCCAGAUACUAGAAGGACUUCUGUAAGAUAGCAUAAAAUACAUAAAGUACAAGUUGUUUGGCACACUUAGGGAGCUCUGCCCUACAAAUCGUUCCCCUUCUGCUUCUCUUGUUGCUAAUGAAACAGCUGCUCUUUGGUUUCAGGCUUUAACCUAUUUUUAGAUUCCUUUUAUGCUGUUGGCCCUUUGAAAUGCAUGAAUCGCUGUGAAAGAAAGCCAGUGUCAUUGCUGUGAGGCACGAGGAAGGCCUGUAGGUGAAGUCAUGUCUGGUAAUGAGAGACUGUCUCACCUAUUCAUCUCCUCCCUUCCUUUAUUUCUAUAAAGCAACUCUGUUCCCUUGGGCACGUGGUUGCAUACCUUUUCUGCUUUUAUUUAAGCAUUACAGUGAUAGCAGGCACAGCCCUUCAUUAGCACAGCUGCAGAGCCGGCGUGCUCUGCUGCGGUCUCAAUACGUGGUCCUGUUCCCACCGCAGGAAAUGUGCUGGCCCGAAGCGGAAAGGGAGCUGGAGGAGCUUGGAUUUCAAGGAGAGAAGCUGGAGAACAGCGCAGAAAGGAGGAAGCUGUGAAUAAAAAUAGGGGGCCAGCGGAAGACAGACCUUUAUUCUCGUUGCUGCAGCCUUUACUGCCUUGAGGACUUCCGUUCUUCGCUCUGCAUCCCUGCACUGACACACAGUUUCACUGGGAUCGAGUCAUCUCCGACGUAUCUGCUAAAUCCUGGCUAGAGACAAGGAGUUCUCGACACAGCAGGGUUCGGUUUUCUUUUUAUGGUUGAAAAAUGUGGUUUGAAUUCUGUGCUACAGCGAAAAUCUAGCAGCAAAAUGUGUGCCUCUGAGGUGUAAAGGCGGCUGCUGUUGCAGAUUCAUACGAGCUCGGUUACGUACGGGGAACUUUGUACUCGGAGGAAAUUAUCACUAGUCUGUAACGCUCUUGGUUUUCUGUUGGCUUUGUAUAGGUUCCUACACUGAUGAAAGUGCAUUUCAAGUUGAAUUUUUCAGGCCCUGUGUAUGUAGUAUUACAUAGAUUGCAAAUAUCUGCCAUGAUUUCCCCUGUUCAGAAUAAAACCGUCUAUGACACCUGUA
Long non-coding RNA from Aquila chrysaetos chrysaetos, 3244 nucleotides. RefSeq lists it as uncharacterized. The record is from RefSeq and is a predicted model, not a curated record. NCBI's taxonomy places the organism in Eukaryota, Metazoa, Chordata, Aves, Accipitriformes, Accipitridae. The transcript is spliced from 3 exons.